Non-coding RNA from Flavobacteria bacterium MS024-3C, 305 nucleotides. It matches the Rfam family "Bacterial RNase P class A". From Rfam's summary of the family: Ribonuclease P (RNase P) is a ubiquitous endoribonuclease, found in archaea, bacteria and eukarya as well as chloroplasts and mitochondria. Its best characterised activity is the generation of mature 5'-ends of tRNAs by cleaving the 5'-leader elements of precursor-tRNAs. The record is from Rfam. Lineage: Bacteria; Pseudomonadati; Bacteroidota; Flavobacteriia.
CAAGCAGGCUGCCUUAUCGCUGGUGGUUUAUCCAUCAGAGGAAAGUCCGGACACCCUAUUGCAGCAUAGCGGGUAACGCCCGUCCGUUGAGAAACGAGGACAAGUGCAACAGAAAGCAGGUACAGGUAAUGCUGUAGUGAAACCAGGUAAACUCUAUGCGGUGCAACGCCAUGUAAACUGACGUUUGAGGGCGGCAAGUUCGAGUCAGAGGGUAGGCGGUUCGAGCCUUGGAGUAAUCCAAGGCCUAGAUAAAUGAUAAGGGCGUUUUUAACGUUACAGAAUCCGGCUUAUGGCCUGCUUUUUUU